UACGUAGGGGGCAAGCGUUGUCCGGAUUUAUUGGGCGUAAAGAGCGUGUAGGCGGCUAGGUAGGUCCGUUGUGAAAACUCGAGGCUCAACCUCGAGACGUCGAUGGAAACCAUCUAGCUAGAGUCCGGAAGAGGAGAGUGGAAUUCCUGGUGUAGCGGUGAAAUGCGCAGAUAUCAGGAAGAACACCCGUGACGAAGGCGGCUCUCUGGUACGUGACUGACGCUGAGACGCGAAAGCGUGGGGAGCGAACAGG
This 253-nucleotide ribosomal RNA is filed under the name uncultured bacterium. RNAcentral's name for it is "partial 16S ribosomal RNA". It matches the Rfam family "Bacterial small subunit ribosomal RNA", at positions 524 to 776 of the family's 1533-position model. The record is from RNAcentral.